This 883-nucleotide unclassified non-coding RNA is filed under the name Hevea brasiliensis (rubber tree). Lineage: Eukaryota; Viridiplantae; Streptophyta; Magnoliopsida; Malpighiales; Euphorbiaceae. The record is from RNAcentral.
GAAUUAUUGAAAGUAGAUAUUAUUUUUCAAAGGAGAAAAACAAAAGUGUGUGAAUUUAACAAAAAUGGAGAGCGCAUUGAAGGAUCUGUCAACUCCCACCGGUGGCGUCGAGGAUGUUUACGGUGAGGAUUGCGCCACUGAGGAUCAGUGCAUCACUCCCUGGACUAUUGCCGUUUCUAGUGGAUACAACUUGUUGAGGGAUCCGCGUUACAACAAAGGGCUUGCUUUCACUGAGAGAGAAAGAGAUGCUCAUUACUUGAGAGGCCUUUUGCCUCCUGUCAUUUCCUCACAGGAACUUCAGGAGAAAAAACUUAUGCAGUCUAUACGCCAAUAUGACGUCCCUCUGCACAAAUAUGUCGCCAUGAUGGAAUUAGAGGAACGGAAUGAAAGGUUGUUUUACAAGCUUCUUAUUGAUAAUGUGGAAGAGUUACUUCCUAUUGUCUACACUCCAACUGUCGGUGAGGCGUGUCAAAAAUAUGGAAGCCUUUUUAAGCGUCCACAGGGUUUAUACAUCAGUUUGAAUGAAAAAGGAAGAAUCCUUGAGGUAUUGAAGAACUGGCCUGAAAAAUCAAUCCAGGUCAUCGUCGUAACUGAUGGAGAAAGAAUUUUGGGACUUGGUGACCUUGGCUGCCAGGGAAUGGGAAUACCCGUGGGGAAAUUGGCCCUGUAUACUGCACUUGGAGGAGUUAGACCUUCCGCGUGCUUGCCUAUAACCAUUGACGUAGGGACAAACAAUGAGAAGUUAUUGAACGACGAGUUCUACAUUGGUCUCAGACAAAGGAGAGCAACUGGACAGGAAUAUUAUGACUUUCUUCAUGAAUUCAUGUCUGCUGUGAAGCAAAACUAUGGCGAAAAAAUUCUCGUACAGUUUGAAGAUUUUGCA